UUCUGUGACCCUGGGUACCCAUUUAGCACUCAUGAAUGAAAAAGAUGAAUGCAUUCUUCGAAUAAGUAACUCACAUCAGAACUAUCGAACGUGAUUCAGUAGAUAUACGUACAUUAUUCUGUAAACGGAACGCUGAUCAAUUUUUCUUGUGAAAAGAUAAGUCAAGUCAGUGUAAACUAGAGAGUUUUGACGUACUGACGUACUUAUUCAUCGAUUUAGAAAUAUUAUUCCAUCUUUUUCGUGAUUUGUUGCCUGCAUUAAAAAACGGUACAUUUACCAAUUUUAAUUUUGAAAAAACAUCUCACAAAAUGGGGAUUGAAGACGAUUUAAAAAACGUUUGGUGUGACGUUGCAAAUACCGUGUCCAAGGCUGCAGAUGCUGUGUCUGAAGCUGCAGAAAAAGUUGUUCAUGUUUUUGAUGGACCUAAUGAGAAAGAAAGAGCAGCUACAUGUAAAGAGUUCGUUACUUUAGGACAGUCACCAUCACAGGAAACUUCGCCAAACGAAGAACCCACCGACUCAACCGAAGCUGCAUGAAAACGAUUCAAAUCAGAGCGAUCAAGAUGAAAGCGAAUAAUCAGGUUGCAGAAAAUGGGAGAAAAAUUAUCAAGAUUAUUUUAUACUUGUACUCAUACUUACUUAUUCUAAACUGAUUUAUUCAUAAUAAUUGUACGAUUUUUAUUUAUUUUUAGCUGCAUUUUUGUAUGAUUUUUCACCCAUAAUAAACUUACUCGUAUUUUAAA
Planococcus citri (citrus mealybug) is the source of this 742-nucleotide long non-coding RNA. RefSeq lists it as uncharacterized. The transcript has 4 exons. NCBI's taxonomy places the organism in Eukaryota, Metazoa, Arthropoda, Insecta, Hemiptera, Pseudococcidae. The record is from RefSeq and is a predicted model, not a curated record.